RNAcentral lists this ribosomal RNA (327 nucleotides) under uncultured bacterium. RNAcentral describes it as "bacterial SSU rRNA". It matches the Rfam family "Bacterial small subunit ribosomal RNA", at positions 28 to 355 of the family's 1533-position model. The record is from RNAcentral.
GACGAACGCUGGCGGCGUGCUUAACACAUGCAAGUCGAGCGGUAAGGCCCUUUCGGGGGUACGACGAGCGGCGAACGGGUGAGUAACACGUGGGUGACCUGCCCUCCAGCUCUGGGAUAAGCCUGGGAAACCGGGUCUAAUACUGGAUAUGACUCCAUGACGCAUGUUGUGGGGUGGAAAGCCUUGUGCGGCUGAGGAUGGGCCCGCGGCCUAUCAGCUUGUUGGUGGGGUGAUGGCCUACCAAGGCGACGACGGGUAGCCGGCCUGAGAGGCGACCGGCCACACUGGGACUGAGACACGGCCCAGACUCCUACGGGAGGCAGCAGU